UACGGAGAGUGCAAACGUUGUUCGGAUUCACUGGGCGUAAAGGGCACGUAGGCGGCUCGGCAAAUCGGUCGUGGAAUCCAGACGCUUACCGUCUGAACGGCGGCCGAAAAUACCGGGCUCGAGGGCGUGAGGGGUCACUGGAACUCCUGGUGAAGCGGUGAAAUGCGUAGAUAUCAGGAGGAACGCCGGAGGCGAAAGCGAGUGACUGGCGCGUUCCUGACGCUGAGGUGCGAAGGCCAGGGGAGCAAACGGG
RNAcentral lists this ribosomal RNA (253 nucleotides) under uncultured bacterium. RNAcentral describes it as "partial 16S ribosomal RNA". It matches the Rfam family "Bacterial small subunit ribosomal RNA", at positions 524 to 776 of the family's 1533-position model. The record is from RNAcentral.